This 805-nucleotide ribosomal RNA is filed under the name Beauveria bassiana. RNAcentral's name for it is "LSU rRNA". It matches the Rfam family "Eukaryotic large subunit ribosomal RNA", at positions 100 to 937 of the family's 3401-position model. Lineage: Eukaryota; Fungi; Ascomycota; Sordariomycetes; Hypocreales; Cordycipitaceae. The record is from RNAcentral.
GGCAACAGCUCAAAUUUGAAAUCUGGCUCUCGGGCCCGAGUUGUAAUUUGUAGAGGAUGCUUUUGGCGAGGUGCCUUCCGAGUUCCCUGGAACGGGACGCCACAGAGGGUGAGAGCCCCGUAUGGUCGGACACCGAGCCUCUGUAAAGCUCCUUCGACGAGUCGAGUAGUUUGGGAAUGCUGCUCAAAAUGGGAGGUAUAUGUCUUCUAAAGCUAAAUAUUGGCCAGAGACCGAUAGCGCACAAGUAGAGUGAUCGAAAGAUGAAAAGCACUUUGAAAAGAGGGUUAAAAAGUACGUGAAAUUGUUGAAAGGGAAGCGCCUAUGACCAGACUUGCGCCCGGUGAAUCACCCAGCGUUCUCGCUGGUGCACUUUGCCGGGCACAGGCCAGCAUCAGUUCAGCGCGGGGGAGAAAGGCUUCGGGAAUGUGGCUCCCUCGGGAGUGUUAUAGCCCGCUGCGUAAUGCCCUGCGCCGGACUGAGGUACGCGCAUUGCAAGGAUGCUGGCGUAAUGGUCAUCAGCGACCCGUCUUGAAACACGGACCAAGGAGUCGUCUUCGUAUGCGAGUGUUCGGGUGUCAAACCCCUACGCGUAAUGAAAGUGAACGCAGGUGAGAGCUUCGGCGCAUCACCGACCGAUCCUGAUGUUCUCGGAUGGAUUUGAGUAAGAGCAUACGGGGCCGGACCCGAAAGAAGGUGAACUAUGCCUGUAUAGGGUGAAGCCAGAGGAAACUCUGGUGGAGGCUCGCAGCGGUUCUGACGUGCGAAUCGAUCGUCAAAUAUGGGCAUGGGGGCGAAAGACUAAUCG